Molecule: signal recognition particle RNA, 303 nt
Filed under: Chlorocebus sabaeus (green monkey)
Lineage: Eukaryota; Metazoa; Chordata; Mammalia; Primates; Cercopithecidae
Description: Metazoan signal recognition particle RNA
Rfam family: Metazoan signal recognition particle RNA
About the family: The signal recognition particle (SRP) is a universally conserved ribonucleoprotein.
Source: Rfam by way of RNAcentral
GCCGGGCGUGGUGGGGCGCACCUGUAAUUCCAGCUACUCGGGAGGCUGAGGUGGGAGAAUCACUUGAACCCAGGAGGCAGAGGGUGCAGUGAGCCAAGAUCGGGCCACUGCACUCCAGCCUAGGUGACAGAGCAAGACUAUCUCAAAAAAAAAAAAAAAAAAAAAAAAANNNNNNNNNNUUUUUUUUUUUUUUUUUUUUUUUUUGAGAUAGUCUUGCUCUGUCACCUAGGCUGGAGUGCAGUGGCCCGAUCUUGGCUCACUGCAACCUCCAACCCCCGGGUACAAGCAGUUCUCCCAUCUCAG